RNAcentral lists this transfer RNA (61 nucleotides) under Gammaproteobacteria bacterium. Its description in RNAcentral is "tRNA-Arg". It matches the Rfam family "tRNA", at positions 7 to 64 of the family's 71-position model. From Rfam's summary of the family: Transfer RNA (tRNA) molecules are approximately 80 nucleotides in length. Their secondary structure includes four short double-helical elements and three loops (D, anti-codon, and T loops). Lineage: Bacteria; Pseudomonadati; Pseudomonadota; Gammaproteobacteria. The record is from RNAcentral.
AUAGCUCAGCUGGAUAGAGCACCAGGCUUCGAACCUGGGUGUCGGGAGUUCGAAUCUCUCU